This 456-nucleotide ribosomal RNA is filed under the name uncultured bacterium. Its description in RNAcentral is "bacterial SSU rRNA". It matches the Rfam family "Bacterial small subunit ribosomal RNA", at positions 19 to 518 of the family's 1533-position model. The record is from RNAcentral.
AUGGCUCAGAACGAACGCUGGCGGCAUGCCUAACACAUGCAAGUCGAACGAGACCUUCGGGUCUAGUGGCGCACGGGUGCGUAACGCGUGGGAAUCUGCCCCUCGGUUGGGAAUAACACAGAGAAAUUUGUGCUAAUACCUUAUAAUGUCUUCGGACCAAAGAUUUAUCGCCGAGGGAUGAGCCCCGCGUAGGAUUAGGUAGUUGGUGGGGUAAUGGCCUACCCAAGCCGACGAUCCUUAGCUGGUCUGAGAGGAUGAUCAGCCACACUGGGACUGAGACACGGCCCAGACUCCUACGGGAGGCAGCAGUGGGGAAUAUUGGACAAUGGGCGAAAGCCUGAUCCAGCCAAUGCCGCGUGAGUGAUGAAGGCCUUAGGGUUGUAAAGCUCUUUUACCCGGGAUGAUAAUGACAGUACCGGGAGAAUAAGCUCCGGCUAACUCCGUGCCAGCAGCAGC